AUUGAACGCUGGCGGCAUGCCUUACACAUGCAAGUCGAACGGCAGCACGGGUGCUUGCACCUGGUGGCGAGUGGCGAACGGGUGAGUAAUAUAUCGGAACGUACCUUAUUGUGGGGGAUAACGCAGCGAAAGCUGUGCUAAUACCGCAUAAUCCCUAAGGGGGAAAGCGGGGGACCGUAAGGCCUCGCGCAAUUAGAGCGGCCGAUACCUGAUUAGCUAGUUGGUGAGGUAAAGGCUCACCAAGGCAACGAUCAGUAGCUGGUCUGAGAGGACGAUCAGCCACACUGGGACUGAGACACGGCCCAGACUCCUACGGGAGGCAGCAGUGGGGAAUUUUGGACAAUGGGGGCAACCCUGAACCAGGAAUGCCGCGUGAGUGAAGAAGGCCUUCGGGUUGUAAAGCUCUUUUGUCAGGGAAGAAACAGCAGCUCUAACACAGUUUGCGAAUGACGGUACCUGAAGAAUAAGCACCGGCUAACUACGUGCCAGCCGCCGCAGUAA
Molecule: ribosomal RNA, 501 nt
Filed under: uncultured bacterium
Lineage: Bacteria
Description: partial 16S ribosomal RNA
Rfam family: Bacterial small subunit ribosomal RNA
Source: RNAcentral